This is a long non-coding RNA of Dermacentor silvarum, 1006 nucleotides long. RefSeq lists it as uncharacterized. The transcript has 3 exons. NCBI's taxonomy places the organism in Eukaryota, Metazoa, Arthropoda, Arachnida, Ixodida, Ixodidae. The record is from RefSeq and is a predicted model, not a curated record.
GUAUGGGUGUUUCGUGAUGUCGCUUCGCGCUCUUUGCCGAUUUUGAAACUAGGGGUGGGAGCAGUUUGUUCGUGCUGCCAGUCGCUUGCAGCGAAGAACUCCGGAUCGUGUUUGGAAGAACAGCAGCAACAACGCCGCUUUGUUUCGGCUCGAGGCUGCUAGGAACAACCCAACGUAAUAUGCUCUCACACUCUAUCAUAACAGUGGCAGACUGGCUGACAAAACUGCUACUUGAGCGUCAUCUGUGACUCAAAGAAUACUAGAAAUCACUGAGUCGGUACAUCCCUGUGUAAGCAACUGCAUCUUUUCCAGAAGUGGCACGAAGAAGGAAGUUCAGUACCCGUGAUCUCAUCGGCCAACUUUCUGCAUGGGAGUCCCGGUUGUCAGGAGAAGACUGCAACAAAGUAUUGCAGGAUGAAAAUCAAGCCUUUUUGGUUAGCAGAAACGGUGGGCCUCCUAAUCAAGGCAUGGCUCGAGUGCCCACGAGGAGCUCUUCUUGGUAGGUCAGCCACAGUUCAGUUGUAAUUCAAAUUGGUAACUUUUGAAAGCACCACAAAUCAGUUUUUGUGUGCGUGCGUGUUGUAAGAAUGGUAUAGUUUUUGCAGCUAUGAUUUAGGUAAAAUAAGUCUUAAUAUAUUCCCUACUGUAGCGAUAUAUUCAAAAGAGCAUUGUGAAUGCACCUUUGUUGCCUCUUAAGCUCACAAUUCUGUCCAAGUAUUAGCCUGUUCUUUGUCUGCGAUGUUUGCAUUAUUUGAAAAUUAAGUGUACUACAUUUAGUAAUGCUCUCAAAAAAGCUAAUUGGUCCGUGUACGCAUUUUAUAAUCAUUUUAAUUACCAUUUAACUAAGACAAUUUUAUUUUUGGUUGCAUUGAUAAUUCAGAUUUCCAAGUUCUCUGUAAAGAAGUCGCAUUUACUAAGGACUCAUUGUAUUAGUCAUAUUUAUGACAACCAUAUAUGCUGAAUCACAUUUGUAUUUCUGAAAUAAACUCCAUUUUCUACUGCCCCA